AAAGCAGGGAAAAGCUAGCAUUGUUAACUUGCAAGAAUCCACGUCAACAUCAACACAAACUUGUGGGGGUGCGCAGUACGCCUCUCUCUCUCUCUCUCUUAGUCUCUAUUAAGACAAGAGAAUCACAUAGACGGACAGACAGACGGAGACAAGAGAAUCACAUAGACGGACAGACAGACGGAGACAAGAGAAUCACAUAGACGGACAGACAGACGGAGACAAGAGAAUCACAUAGACGGACAGACAGACGGUGAAGUGAAGAGAAGAGCAACGGGCUCAAUCUCAAAAUCGGUAGCCAUUUCUCUUUCUUUUUGUACACGCAAGGACACUCAAUAAUCCACUGUCGUAAACGCACAAGUAUUAACCAGGUCCGGGGACAGCUUGCUUAAUCGGAUUCGGAAACGCACCGUUUGGACUUUGAUCAUACUCUUUAUGUGCGUGCUGCUAGCUCUUGAUGGUGGGUGAAUCAUGGAAGACACCGAGAGUUGCUGUAGCAGGCCCGUCGAUUUCUCCCCCACUCUCACCCGAAAGCAGAAGCUCAAAGUCAAUAUCUACAACGAAGUUCUCCGUCGACUUAUGAGCUCAGAUGUCGCAGACGCCAAACUUGCUGGUUUCGAAGAUGAACUCUGGGCUCAUUUUAAUCGCCUCCCCACUAGGUAUGCGUUGGAUGUGAAUGUGGAGAGGGCACAAGAUGUUCUCAUGCAUAAAAGGUUACUCCUUAUGGCACAUGACCCUGCCACAAGACCUGCAGUUGAAGUCCAUCUUGUGCAGGUUCAUUCUGCUUCUGGUUCAAACUUACCCAGGAAAGCGGAUGCUCAUUGUUCUGCUUAUGCUAGCAAACAGAGCCAUCCGCCACCAGCUUUUGGUUUGUCACCAGACCUUGAACUUGCUCUUGAAGCCGAGCAGUUACACGUGCACCAUGGGAAUAACACUGUGAACGCCAGUCAACUUUAUACACGGCCAAUGCAUGAAAUUACUAUUUCAACUAAUGACAAGCCCAAACUCCUCAGUGAGUUGACAUCCUUAUUAUCUGAUAUUGGACUGAACAUUCGAGAAGCACAUGCUUUUUCCACAACAGAUGGCUACUCUUUGGAUGUCUUUGUUGUUGAUGGUUGGGCAUGUGAGGAAACUGAGCGGCUUAGACAUGUACUGGCCAAAGAAAUACCAUGGAGUGAGAAGAAUCCUUGCUUGGAUUAUAGUGUUAUUUCCCCUGUUCCAGAGCAAGAGACUGGAAUGAUGUUUACUAAUAGUCAUGUAAGCUCACUCAAUGAGGAACAAGAUAUUUGGGAAAUUGAUGCAACCCUGUUGAGAUAUGAAAAGAAAAUUGCAUCUGGAUCGUAUGGUGAUCUGUUUCAAGGUAGUUUCUGUGGUCAAGCUGUGGCUAUUAAAGUUCUUAGUACUGAGCGCCUGAAUGAAACUAUGAGGGAGUUUACUCAAGAAGUCUAUAUCAUGAGAAAAGUUCGGCACAAAAAUGUUGUUCAAUUAAUUGGAGCAUGCACUAAACCUCCUAAGCUUUGCAUCGUUACUGAGUUUCUGUCUGGUGGAAGUAUGUACGACUUUGUGCAUAAGCAAACAGGUGCUUUAUCACUUCAGUCCUUGCUCAGAGUUGCAAUUGAUGUUUCCAGGGGAAUGAACUACUUGCACCAAAAUAAUAUAAUCCAUAGGGACUUGAAAGCUGCUAAUCUUUUGAUGGAUGAAAAUGGAGUUGUGAAAGUUGCUGAUUUUGGCGUCGCUAGAGUACAGGCGCAAUCUGGCGUUAUGACUGCAGAAACUGGCACUUAUCGUUGGAUGGCUCCAGAGGUUAUAGAGCAUAAACCAUAUGAUCACAAAGCUGAUGUGUUUAGCUUUGGGGUUGUUCUCUGGGAGCUGCUUACAGGAAAGCUUCCCUACGAGAACUUAACUCCGUUACAAGCAGCAGUUGGCGUAGUCCAGAAGGAUCCCCGAGUUGUUCUCAGGGUCUGAGGCCUACAAUUCCAAGGCACACUAAUCCAAUGUUGGUGGAAUUGAUGGAGAGAUGCUGGCAGCAGGACCCAUCAUUGAGACCUGAAUUCUCAGAAAUUGUAAAGAUGUUGCAGCACAUAGCCAGGAGGGUUGCAAAUGGAAGCGAGGAUAGACGAAAGGGAAAAUCAGCCAAAGUAGUUCCCACGUUCAAGCAAGACAGUGAAUGAGGUUUUUGUUUAUAAAUUAAUACGUGUGUAAUACAGUGUCUAAUGAUCAUUGAUCAAUCAAACUCUUCACAACUCCUUUCUUUCCCUCCCUCAACUUUAUAUGCUCCGUUGGGUUAAUCUAAGUAAUGACUAGAGACUCUUGUGCUGAUUCA
Non-coding RNA from Prunus avium (sweet cherry), 2320 nucleotides. Lineage: Eukaryota; Viridiplantae; Streptophyta; Magnoliopsida; Rosales; Rosaceae. The record is from RefSeq and is a predicted model, not a curated record.